CUCUCCUCCGCCCUGGGGGAAAGCGUCCUUGGUGCCUGGAGGGAUGGGGGAGAGAAGGCGUUCACCUUGGCUCUGCUGGCGUUUUCCUUGGGGCCCUCCAGCUGCAGCCAGAUGUGGGGGUUGUCCGGACAGUCCUUCGGAAGGACGCUCACCCCCACGCUGAAGAUGCGCUCCACAUGGGGCUGCUGUUCCCGAACCUUGUUCUCAGCCUCCGCAGACACCGCAAAGCGAUCUGGGGACGCGGGGCGGGCCCCCCAGCUAUCAACAGGUCGCACCUAGUUAAGGCUCUGGUAAACAGCCCCAGGAGGUGACAAGCAUCUGAGUCCACUGGAGGUAGG
RNAcentral lists this long non-coding RNA (338 nucleotides) under Homo sapiens (human). Its description in RNAcentral is "HSALNT0208489". The record is from RNAcentral. Lineage: Eukaryota; Metazoa; Chordata; Mammalia; Primates; Hominidae.